GGUACCUGAAGAAUAAGCACCGGCUAACUACGUGCCAGCAGCCGCGGUAAUACGUAGGGUGCAAGCGUUAAUCUGAAUUACUGGGCGUAAAGCGUGCGCAGGCGGUUCUGUAAGAUAGAUGUGAAAUCCCCGGGCUCAACCUGGGAAUUGCAUAUAUGACUGCAGGACUUGAGUUUGUCAGAGGAGGGUGGAAUUCCACGUGUAGCAGUGAAAUGCGUAGAUAUGUGGAAGAACACCGAUGGCGAAGGCAGCCCUCUGGGACAUGACUGACGCUCAUGCACGAAAGCGUGGGGAGCAAACAGGAUUAGAUACCCUGGUAGUCCACGCCCUAAACGAUGUCUACUAGUUGUUGGGGACGAUAGUCCUUGGUAACGCAGCUAACGCGUGAAGUAGACCGCCUGGGGA
RNAcentral lists this ribosomal RNA (405 nucleotides) under uncultured bacterium. RNAcentral describes it as "bacterial SSU rRNA". It matches the Rfam family "Bacterial small subunit ribosomal RNA", at positions 474 to 879 of the family's 1533-position model. The record is from RNAcentral.